This 571-nucleotide ribosomal RNA is filed under the name Bacillus sp. enrichment culture clone M1C2. RNAcentral describes it as "bacterial SSU rRNA". It matches the Rfam family "Bacterial small subunit ribosomal RNA", at positions 355 to 916 of the family's 1533-position model. The record is from RNAcentral. Lineage: Bacteria; Bacillati; Bacillota; Bacilli; Caryophanales; Bacillaceae. RNAcentral also lists the same sequence under 1 other name.
UAGGGAAUCUUCCGCAAUGGACGAAAGUCUGACGGAGCAACGCCGCGUGAGUGAUGAAGGCUUUCGGGUCGUAAAACUCUGUUGUUAGGGAAGAACAAGUGCUAGUUGAAUAAGCUGGCACCUUGACGGUACCUAACCAGAAAGCCACGGCUAACUACGUGCCAGCAGCCGCGGUAAUACGUAGGUGGCAAGCGUUAUCCGGAAUUAUUGGGCGUAAAGCGCGCGCAGGUGGUUUCUUAAGUCUGAUGUGAAAGCCCACGGCUCAACCGUGGAGGGUCAUUGGAAACUGGGAGACUUGAGUGCAGAAGAGGAAAGUGGAAUUCCAUGUGUAGCGGUGAAAUGCGUAGAGAUAUGGAGGAACACCAGUGGCGAAGGCGACUUUCUGGUCUGUAACUGACACUGAGGCGCGAAAGCGUGGGGAGCAAACAGGAUUAGAUACCCUGGUAGUCCACGCCGUAAACGAUGAGUGCUAAGUGUUAGAGGGUUUCCGCCCUUUAGUGCUGAAGUUAACGCAUUAAGCACUCCGCCUGGGGAGUACGGCCGCAAGGCUGAAACUCAAAGGAAUGGACGG